RNAcentral lists this long non-coding RNA (242 nucleotides) under Brassica rapa (field mustard). RNAcentral describes it as "long non-coding RNA (BRAP_LNC007509)". The record is from RNAcentral. Lineage: Eukaryota; Viridiplantae; Streptophyta; Magnoliopsida; Brassicales; Brassicaceae.
UAUACUUUCUGUAGAUUAUCAAAUGGAUUUGAAUCUGUGGGCCCGUAGGAAUCGUCCUCCGGCUACUAUGAUGGUCAUAGACGGUCAUGAGCAACUGAGAUGUUUAGCUCCUGCACUUUACGACCUUGAAGAUGGUGGAUACACAAUUCUUAUUGCAUAUCCUCAGCCUCACCUAGCCACACCCUUUCCUCGUACCUUCACUAACCAGUGGUUUUGGGAUGCCUUACUCUCAUAUAAACUGG